GUCUACGGCCAUUCCAUCCUGAACACGCUCGAUCUCAUCUGAUCUCGGAAGCUAAGUAGGGUCGGGCCUUGUUAGUACUUCGAUGGGAGACCAUCUGGGAAUACCAUGUGCUGCAGACU
Molecule: ribosomal RNA, 119 nt
Organism: Pteropus vampyrus (large flying fox)
Lineage: Eukaryota; Metazoa; Chordata; Mammalia; Chiroptera; Pteropodidae
Source: Ensembl